GAUCCUGCCGGACCCCACUGCUAUCGGGAUGGGACUAAGACAUGCUAGUCGUGCGCCUCCCAGCCAUGGCGGAGGCGCGGCGUACAGCUCAGUAGCACGUGGCUAACCUACCCUUGGGACGGAAACAACCCCGGGAAACUGGGGCUAAUUUUCGAUAGGUGAAGACUCCUGGAAUGGACCUUCGCCCAAAAGACGCUUAAACCAUGCUUUUAGGCGUUGCCCAAGGAUGGGGCCGCGGCCGAUCAGGUUGUUGGUGAGGUAACGGCUCACCAAGCCUUUGACCGGUGCGGGCCGUGGGAGCGGGAGCCCGGAGAUGGGCACUGAGACAAGGGCCCAGGCCCUACGGGGCGCAGCAGUCGCGAAAACUUUGCAAUACACGAAAGUGUGACAAGGCCAUCCCGAGUGCCGUCCGCUGAGGAUGGCUUUUCUCCAGUGUAGAUAGCUGGAGGAAUAAGGAGAGGGCAAGUCUGGUGUCAGCCGCCGCGGUAAUACCAGCUCUCCGAGUGGUGGGGAUGUUUAUUGGGUCUAAAGCAUCCGUAGCCGGCUGGGCAGUUCCCUGUUAAAUCCAGCGAUUUAAUCGUUGGAUUGCGGGGGAUACUGCCCGGCUAGGGGAUGGAAGAGGCCGACGGUAUUUUCGGGGUAGGGGUGAAAUCCUAUAAUCCCGGAAGGACCACCAGUGGCGAAGGCUGUCGGCUAGAACACGCCCGACGGUGAGGGAUGAAAGCUGGGGGAGCGAACCGGAUUAGAUACCCGGGUAGUCCCAGCCGUAAACGAUGCAGGCUAGGUGUUUGGGCGGCUACGCGCCGCCCUAGUGCCGCAGGGAAGCUGUUAAGCCUGCCGCCUGGGGAGUACGGCCGCAAGGCUGAAACUUAAAGGAAUUGGCGGGGGAGCACCACAAGGGGUGAAGCUUGCGGUUUAAUUGGAGUCAACGCCGGGAAUCACUAGUGAAU
This 950-nucleotide ribosomal RNA is filed under the name uncultured archaeon. RNAcentral's name for it is "bacterial SSU rRNA". It matches the Rfam family "Archaeal small subunit ribosomal RNA", at positions 10 to 936 of the family's 1478-position model. The record is from RNAcentral.